AGAGACAGCAGUAACACCUUCUGGCUAUAGUCUAUUUUCAUCUUUCUCAUCCUAGUGUUAUCAAGAGAAAAACAGUCUUAGAUGCAACAUAAAAAUUUCAGAGACAGAAGAAAUCUUCCUUUGAGGGCAGUGAUACACUUAUGUGAGAUUUUGAAAAGUGAAAAAUCAAAGGUGGAAUUGACCAGUAGAUGUAAAAGUACAACAAAUAAACAAAAAUGGCAAUGUUGAAAGUGAAACUGAAAUUCAACAGAAAUAAAAGAAAUAGCAGACUGGGGGGAUAUUGACUUUGACACCAUGAUGCCAGAGGAACUUAGUGAUGGCAAACUUAUCAAUAUAAAAUGAGGAUAUUGGUUGUCAACUAGGAUUGAAAUGCUGUUUUUCUUCCCUGGUACAAUGUUAAAGCUUUAAACUCUUGUCAAUGAUGUGAUGUUUCAUCUGCAAUGAUCUACACUAGAAAAAUAAAAAUGUAGUUACUGACAAAAAAGCAGGUAAGAAAAAUAAUUUUUUAAAAGGACAGCUACAUGAGGACCACACAACUCCUGGAAGAGGUUUCCCUGGCAACACAACUUUUCCAUUCAUCUGGUUGCAGUGUUUUCAUCCAGUAGCCUGUCACCUCACUCAAAAGCAGGGCAAUGGAGAGAAAGAAACUUACCAAGUUUUUUCUUUUAACUAGAGAGUAGCCUACUUAUUGGGCCCUGCAAUUAAUUUCAGUACUCCAGGCAGAUUUAUAAAGGAAGCUGCUGGAAGGAAUUCAUUCCCUUUUUGCUGUUCUGCCUUCCACCUUCCACUGUGUGAGGACACUGCAAGAAAGCCCUCAUCAGACACCAACUGCCAGCACCUAGAUCUUGGAAUUCUCAGCCUCCAGAACUGUGAGAAACACGUUUCUGUUUUUCUAUAAAAUAAUAAUAAUAAAAAACUUCCAUGCAGGAAAAAAAAUCAAGUUCAAAGGUCCUGUGGUGAGGGCAUACCAGCUUUGUUUGAGAAGCAGUAAUCAUGCCUGUGUGACUGUAAUGAAAGAAUAAAAGAGAAAUGAGCACAGAAGAAUAUAAUGUAGUCCUUUUCAUUUUAAGCAAGAAAUUUGGCUUCAAUUCUAAAUGUGAUAAGAAAAAAACAG
RNAcentral lists this long non-coding RNA (1114 nucleotides) under Homo sapiens (human). RNAcentral's name for it is "HSALNT0308024". Lineage: Eukaryota; Metazoa; Chordata; Mammalia; Primates; Hominidae. The record is from RNAcentral.